GCACCCUUUGUAACCCCUUAAGUUAUUAAAAAAAGAUGUUUUUUUCCUAUUUUUGCAUGGAAUAGAACAUCUGAGGAUCAAUUGUAGCUCCAAAGGUUGGGAUCAACACUGAAGAAAGCCAUGGUGAUGCCUUCCAGAAGGUUCUUCUGCCUACUAUACCACCUGGACAGGUCAUGGGCCUCUGAGGAGCACCUUAGUAUGAGAAGAUGCCCCUCUGAUGUGGGAAGACCCAACAUUAUUUUCGUUGGAAAGGAACUCACGGAGCUGACGUGUCAGUGGGUUCUGCCUGGAGUCAUGAGGACAACCCACAGAGUGUCUGUCCUCCAUCUGCACCUGAUAUCAACCAAUAACCAACCAUCACCAACAAUGAACACCAGCAAAAGGAACCAUGCCUAACAAGAGUCAGAGAGAAAACUUUGCUGGUCAGCUAGAAGACCAGAAGAUCUUGUGAGAGAUUGUUUUGAGAACUGCUGCUGAGCAGAGCCAUCAUACCUGCAACAGGUAGGACC
Molecule: long non-coding RNA, 509 nt
Filed under: Naja naja (Indian cobra)
Lineage: Eukaryota; Metazoa; Chordata; Lepidosauria; Squamata; Elapidae
Description: lncRNA (ENSNNAG00000003844.1)
Source: RNAcentral